GAGGCAGCAGUGAGGAAUAUUGGACAAUGGAUGGAAAUCUGAUCCAGCCAUGCCGCGUGCAGGAAGACGGUCCUAUGGAUUGUAAACUGCUUUAGCAUGGGAGCAAUAAGGUGUACGCGUACACCGAUGAGAGUACCAUGAGAAUAAGCACCGGCUAACUCCGUGCCAGCAGCCGCGGUAAUACGGAGGGUGCAAGCGUUA
Molecule: ribosomal RNA, 201 nt
Filed under: uncultured bacterium
Lineage: Bacteria
Description: partial 16S ribosomal RNA
Rfam family: Bacterial small subunit ribosomal RNA
Source: RNAcentral